UGGUGACGUCACCGCAAGCCCCGCCCCUUUUCCAUAGGAGGAGGAGGAGCCACGGAGGCCGAACGAGGAAGGAAGGAAGGAAGUCUGGCUUCGUGUUCGAAGGAGAACAUGAGGGUUCUAUGGAACCUCUGCCGUGAUGAGCAACAAAUCAGCGUCUAGUGGAUAUGGAGGAAUUUGGAAACCAAAGAGCAGUAAGGAAACCAGUCCUGUGGGAAAAACGAAUCCUCUCAAGGUGCUGAUCUCACUUUUCAUCAGAAAGGGAAAAACAAAAAUCAAGUGUCCAAAUUGCAAUUACAUGUACACAUUACAACACCGUCAAAAUGGAGGACAAAGAUUAUAAAUGUAUUGAAUGUGGAAAGGGCUUUAGUCAGCAUGGACAUCUGAAGACACAUCAAAGGACUCACACUGGAGAUAAACAUAAAUGUGUGGAAUGUGGACGGAGCUUCACUCAGAGUGCAAGUCUUCAUUUACAUCAAAGGACUCACACUGGCGAGAAACCCUAUAAAUGCCUGGAGUGUGGACAGAGCUUCUCUUUGAGUGCAAGUCUACGUUCACAUCAAAGGACUCACACUGGGGAGAAACCUUACACAUGCCUGGAGUGUGGACAGAGCUUCACUGAGAGUGGAAGUCUACGUAGACAUCAAAGGAUUCACACUGGGAAGAGACCCUAUAAAUGUCUGGAGUGUGGUAUGUGCUUCAGUCAUAAGGUAAAUUUAUAUUCACACCAAAGGAUUCACACUAGGGAGAAACCCUAUAAAUGUUUUGAGUGUGGACAAAGCUUCGCUCGGAGUGGAACUUUACGUAGACAUCAAAGGACUCACACUGGAGAGAAACCCUAUAAAUGCCUGGAGUGUGGACAGAGCUUCUCUUUGAGUGCAAGUCUACGUUCACAUCAAAGGACUCACACUGGGGAGAAACCUUACACAUGCCUGGAGUGUGGACAGAGCUUCUCACAUAAUGGUAGUCUACGCUCACAUCAAAGGACUCACACUGGGGAGAAACCCUAUAAGUGCCUGGAGUGUGGAAAAAGCUUCAUUCGGAAUGACUACCUACGUUCACAUCAAAGGAUUCACACUGAGCGGUCCGAGGGACCAUGAGCCAGCCACCUGCUUCCAAAGUCCAGGGACCUCUGUUCUAAGGCCUCCUGCAAUCUCAUCGGAGUCGUUAGCCUUUGAGGGCAGAACACUUUGAUAGGUCCUCCUGAAGUGAUCUCUGCCUGGCAAGGAAUUGAUCACCUCCACCCACAGACCUGUAUUUCCAAGCUGAAAACUGCAUCAAGUGUAUGGAGUCCUCGUGGAUGACAAGUUAAACAUGAGCCAACAAUGUCAUGCGGCAGCUUAAAAAGCCAAUGAGAAUUUGGACUGCGUACAUAGGAGUCUAGUGCCUAGAGCCAGGGAUGGAAGUCAUGCUCCCCGUUUCUUCUCUUCUGCCUUAGGCAGACCACUUCACCUGGAAUACUGAGUCCAAUUCUGGGCACCGCAAUUGAAGGGAGAUGGUGACUCUAUGCUGGAAUGUGUCCAGAGGAGGGCAACUAGAAUGAUCAAGGGUCUGGAGAACAAGCCCCAUGAGGAGCGGCUUAAAGAGCUGGGCAUGUUGAGCCUCCAGAAGAGAAGGCUGAGGGAGAGGAGACGUGAUGAGGGUCAUGGAUCAAGAUGUGAAUGAUGGGGAGUCAUAGGGAGGAGAGAGCAGGCUUCCUUUCUGCUGCCCUAGAAACUAGGACACAAUGAAGCAGUGGCUUCAAACUACAGGAAAGAAAGGAGAUUCCACCUGAGCAUGAGGAAGACCUUCCUGACUGUGUGUGUGUGAGCGAGAGAGCUGUUCAGCAGUGGAACUCCUUGCCUCGGAGUGUGGUGGAGGCUCCUUCUUUGGAGGCUUUUAAACAGAGCCUGAGUGGCCAGGUUUUCAGGGUGCUUUGAAUGCAAUUUUCCUGCUUCUUGGCAGAAUGGAGUUGGACUGGAUGAAUAGCCCACGAGGUCUCUUCUGACUCUAUGACCGGAGUGUGGACACCAUGUGGGAUAGGCCCAUGUGUGUCAUGGAUCCCAUGCCCCCCAAAGAUGCACCUGACAAACUGGCCUCCAGAGGUAGGUUGAGGUCGCCCAGAGGCAAAGGUCCGAGUGGGUCCAGCACCCGCUCCAAGACCAGCGCCUGAGCUCGACCAGGGAGUCUGAGACACCAGGUGGACAAGACUCAACAGAACCCCCAUAUUCUGUCAGAUUGUUUAUUUCAAGUCUUUAUCUAAUUUUAAUUAUUACCCAAGAAAUCUUUAAAAAUAAUUUAAUCUAUUUGUAUAUUACUAUAUAAGAAAUUUAAUAUUAUAUAGACAAAAAUUUACUAUGUAUCACUAUCACUAUUGCUCUUUCUCCCUCUUAUCACCACUCAAAGCUUAUACACUUCUAUGUAAACGUUUCUAGUCUAUUUAACUCAUCAGUUUAUCCAAAGACUCUUAAAUGUGGGAUAGAUAAGUCAUACAAAAUCUGUGGUUCUGUAUAAAACCUUCCAGAUUUAAUGAAAGGGUGCUAAUCCAUCUAUUUCCAAGGUUUCCAAAAUAUGGGGUAAUACAGUGUGUAUUUAUAGGCAAUCGUCGUAUCUUUGCAAAUUCCAUAUAAGGCUCCCACUUGAAGUUUCGUCGAAAACACUAUCUAUGGGCUUGUUCCUUUUGAAGUGUAUUGCUAGUACUUGCAUCCUAUUUGACCAGAUCAUAAUAAACUUCUGUAAUAAUAAA
This is an RNA transcript of Anolis carolinensis (green anole), 2722 nucleotides long. RefSeq lists it as uncharacterized. The record is from RefSeq and is a predicted model, not a curated record. The transcript is spliced from 3 exons. Lineage: Eukaryota; Metazoa; Chordata; Lepidosauria; Squamata; Anolidae.